Molecule: non-coding RNA, 423 nt
Organism: Pteronotus mesoamericanus
Lineage: Eukaryota; Metazoa; Chordata; Mammalia; Chiroptera; Mormoopidae
Source: the annotation of a RefSeq genome assembly
AUGUUGCUCUCCAGCCUUCUGAAGAUGGUCCUGGUUUCCAUGUGGCUAGGAUGCAGUAUUGGCCAGAAGGUAACUCAAGGCCAACCAGCAAUGUUAGUGCAGGAGAAGGAGGCUGUGACCCUGGACUGCACAUAUGAAACCAGUUCCACAAGUUACAGCCUAUUCUGGUACAAGCAGCUCAGCAGUGGGGCGAUGAUUGUCCUUAUUCGUCAGGACUCCUAUAACCAGAAGAACGCCUCAGAAGGUCGCUAUUCACUGAACUUUCAGAAAGCAAACAGUUUCAUCAAUCUUGUCAUCUCAGCAUCACAGCAGGAGGAUUCUGCAGUGUAUUUCUGUGCUUUGAGUGAAACCACAGUGAGAGGUGUGUAUGAAGGAGGUGUUCCAAAACCCCAGGGACCUGCUUGUUGCAUCCACCUGCUGUAG